Long non-coding RNA from Lycium barbarum (goji berry), 427 nucleotides. RefSeq lists it as uncharacterized. The record is from RefSeq and is a predicted model, not a curated record. NCBI's taxonomy places the organism in Eukaryota, Viridiplantae, Streptophyta, Magnoliopsida, Solanales, Solanaceae. The transcript is spliced from 3 exons.
AGUUAUUUUGGAAGAAAGGGCACUUGUUUCAUCAAUUUGACAACUUGGUCAAGUGAAGAAGAUUGGAGAAAAAGAUUUUGGCGAACUUGAAACUUGAUUUUGGAGACGUGUAUGAAGCGGAAAAGGUACACCCAGAUGAUAUGAAGUUAUUACAGAGGAUGUUCCGGCAGAGUUGGCAAGCUCCAUUUGCUCCCAGAGUGCUGCCGAGUCAGGGUUUGUACGUAUGUUUUUCUGGAUUGAUGUUAGAGACUUUGCAGACAGAGUCGUGGGUAUUGGUUAUCAGUCUGUAAGCGGCUCCAUCAGCCGAUAUGUCAUUCUGUGUUAUGUAGUAAAUUUUAUAUAAUUACGGAUUUUACCUAAAAUUGAGAACGAUAAAAGAUGGAUUUCGAAAGCUUAAUAUGUAUUUUACUUUUAUCUGAUUUUCAGA